This 69-nucleotide transfer RNA is filed under the name Marmota marmota marmota (Alpine marmot). It matches the Rfam family "tRNA". From Rfam's summary of the family: Transfer RNA (tRNA) molecules are approximately 80 nucleotides in length. Their secondary structure includes four short double-helical elements and three loops (D, anti-codon, and T loops). Further hydrogen bonds mediate the characteristic L-shaped molecular structure. tRNAs have two regions of fundamental functional importance: the anti-codon, which is responsible for specific mRNA codon recognition, and the 3' end, to which the tRNAs corresponding amino acid is attached (by aminoacyl-tRNA synthetases). tRNAs cope with the degeneracy of the genetic code in two manners: having more than one tRNA (with a specific anti-codon) for a particular amino acid; and 'wobble' base-pairing, i.e. permitting non-standard base-pairing at the 3rd anti-codon position. The record is from Rfam by way of RNAcentral. Lineage: Eukaryota; Metazoa; Chordata; Mammalia; Rodentia; Sciuridae. RNAcentral also lists the same sequence under 2 other names.
GGAGUUGAAGCUAAGUGGUAAAGUGCUUGCUUAGCAUGCAUAAGGCCCUAGGUUUGAUUCCCAGCACCA